RNAcentral lists this ribosomal RNA (717 nucleotides) under uncultured Staphylococcus sp. Its description in RNAcentral is "bacterial SSU rRNA". It matches the Rfam family "Bacterial small subunit ribosomal RNA", at positions 58 to 757 of the family's 1533-position model. Lineage: Bacteria; Bacillati; Bacillota; Bacilli; Caryophanales; Staphylococcaceae. The record is from RNAcentral.
CAAGUCGAGCGAACGGACGAGAAGCUUGCUUCUCUGAUGUUAGCGGCGGACGGGUGAGUAACACGUGGAUAACCUACCUAUAAGACUGGGAUAACUUCGGGAAACCGGAGCUAAUACCGGAUGAUAUUUUGAACCGCAUGGUUCAAAAGUGAAAGACGGUCUUGCUGUCACUUAUAGAUGGAUCCGCGCUGCAUUAGCUAGUUGGUAAGGUAACGGCUUACCAAGGCAACGAUGCAUAGCCGACCUGAGAGGGUGAUCGGCCACACUGGAACUGAGACACGGUCCAGACUCCUACGGGAGGCAGCAGUAGGGAAUCUUCCGCAAUGGGCGAAAGCCUGACGGAGCAACGCCGCGUGAGUGAUGAAGGUCUUCGGAUCGUAAAACUCUGUUAUUAGGGAAGAACAUAUGUGUAAGUAACUGUGCACAUCUUGACGGUACCUAAUCAGAAAGCCACGGCUAACUACGUGCCAGCAGCCGCGGUAAUACGUAGGUGGCAAGCGUUAUCCGGAAUUAUUGGGCGUAAAGCACGCGUAGGCGGUUUUUUAAGUCUGAUGUGAAAGCCCACGGCUCAACCGUGGAGGGUCAUUGGAAACUGGAAGACUUGAGUGCAGAAGAGGAAAGUGGAAUUCCAUGUGUAGCGGUGAAAUGCGCAGAGAUAUGGAGGAACACCAGUGGCGAAGGCGACUUUCUGGUCUGUAACUGACGCUGAUGUGCGAA